UACGAAGGGGGCAAGCGUUGUUCGGAAUUACUGGGCGUAAAGGGCUCGUAGGCGGCCAACUAAGUCGGACGUGAAAUCCCCAGGCUCAACCGUGGAAUUGCAUUCGAAACUGGAAGUCUUGAGUGUGGAAGAGAUUGGUAGAAUACCUGGUGUAGUGGUGAAAUACGUAGAUAUCAGGUGGAAUACCGGUGGCGAAGGCGGCCAAUUGGCCCAACACUGACGCUGAGAUACGAAAGCGUGGGGAUCAAACAGG
RNAcentral lists this ribosomal RNA (253 nucleotides) under uncultured bacterium. RNAcentral's name for it is "partial 16S ribosomal RNA". It matches the Rfam family "Bacterial small subunit ribosomal RNA", at positions 524 to 776 of the family's 1533-position model. The record is from RNAcentral.